This 254-nucleotide ribosomal RNA is filed under the name uncultured Pseudomonas sp. RNAcentral's name for it is "partial 16S ribosomal RNA". It matches the Rfam family "Bacterial small subunit ribosomal RNA", at positions 99 to 356 of the family's 1533-position model. The record is from RNAcentral. Lineage: Bacteria; Pseudomonadati; Pseudomonadota; Gammaproteobacteria; Pseudomonadales; Pseudomonadaceae.
CGGACGGGUGAGUAAUGCCUAGGAAUCUGCCUGGUAGUGGGGGACAACGUUUCGAAAGGAACGCUAAUACCGCAUACGUCAUACGGGAGAAAGCAGGGGACCUUCGGGCCUUGCGCUAUCAGAUGAGCCUAGGUCGGAUUAGCUAGUUGGUGAGGUAAUGGCUCACCAAGGCGACGAUCCGUAACUGGUCUGAGAGGAUGAUCAGUCACACUGGAACUGAGACACGGUCCAGACUCCUACGGGAGGCAGCAGCG